UUUUAUUGUUGUGAGAAUCUCUGAUAAACGAUCGGUUGUUUCACUAUUAGGCAAGAAUAUUGGAAGUAGGGAAUAGCAAAAAGACAAUUUUAGUGAUUGCAGUUGAAUUUUUGGUAAGUUUUGGCUUCGUUGAAGGUUUCGUGUCGAAACUUUUGACAUAUGCGUUAAGUGCGUAUUUGGGAAAUUUUGUGAUUAAAGGGCUUAAUUGUUUGACUGAAUGAUUUUUUU
RNAcentral lists this long non-coding RNA (228 nucleotides) under Gossypium barbadense (sea-island cotton). RNAcentral describes it as "long non-coding RNA (GBAR_LNC017264)". Lineage: Eukaryota; Viridiplantae; Streptophyta; Magnoliopsida; Malvales; Malvaceae. The record is from RNAcentral.